UCUGAGGAGGAGCCAUAAUGGACUUAAAACACUAACUCUGUUUCUCUCUCCACGGGUGCUGCCAACCUGCUGAGUUUCUGCAACGUUCUCUGUAUUUGUUGCAGCAAAUGUAUUUAACUGACCAUGAAAUUUGAAAGGCAGUAUAUCAAUGCAAAUUCUUCGGCUGGAUGGUCUCUUCAUCUCCAACUUAAAAAGGAAAAAUCACUUAUGAGACACUGGCCGAGAAAUGACUGCUGUUGAUUUAGUUGCUUGAUGCAAUUUCCUUAGAGAUGCUUUCAACCCAAGGAUUAGCUAAGGCACCUUUCCAACCUAUGAAUGGGAAUUUCAUCAUGCUUCUGGCCAAGCUACAAUAGAGGAGGCCAAGGCUGCUGGAAAAUUCUAGAAUAUCUCACUAGAUGAAGCUCUGUGUGUUCCCCUUCGUGGUCAUCAGUUCAUCACUUGAACAUCCACCAGUUUCAGGAGGGAGGUUUUGCUGGAACUGCACACAAUAUGAGGUCACAGCUGGAGUACUGUGUGCAGAUCUGGUCACCACGUGAUGGGAAGCCUGUGAUUGCGCUGUAGUGAGUACAGAGGAGAUACACCACGAAGUUGCCUGGAAUGGAGCAACUCAGCGAUAAAGAGAGACUGGCUAAGCUUGGGUUGUUUCCCAUAGAGCAGAGAAGCUUCACUAUCAAACUGAGUUUGCCCAAACAUGUAAUCAUGAAGAACAGAAUAAACUAAGAAUGAAGUAAUGUUGAACCUAUAGAGAACAGUUACUAGACAACUGUUAGAAUAUCACUUUCAGAAGAAGGUUAAAAUGAUGGAAAGGAUACUGAAUGGAUUCACUAAGAUGAUACCAAGGAUGAGAGGAUCAGGUUGUAUCCGACACUGUCAAAUCUCUCAAGGAAGGUCACAAGAGUGGUCAAAAUAUAGAAUGUCUGUCGUGUGUCAGGCCUAAAGCACAGCUUGAACUGAAAAUCUUCUCAGUCCAAGGUUCCUAUUCACCUUGGAAAUAAGAACCUUGCUCCCAUGAUUUUCAAAACAGCCAUCAUCCAGAUUUCUGCAAAAAACGUCUAAUUUUUAUCAUGUGAAGCACUGCCUUCUAAAAUGUUUUACUAACAGGCAUCAUCUGUUAAUAGCACUAGGGAUGCAGACCACCAUUGUGGUGACUGGUGUUUUAAGAUAUGAAAAGAAUUAUCUUGGAUCUUCUCUCCAUUCAGAAUGCUGUAUUGGCAAGAAAAAAAAGUUAGUUAACCAGGUAGAAAAAUCAAUGACUGACAACAGAGAAUGCUCUUUAGGUGUGUUAAAAAUACAGUUGAGUUUGAGCAGAAAGCAGUUGCCUAAAUCCAUUUUAAGCAAUAAGCUUAUUAAUAAUAAUAGCAUUCUACUUGUUGCCAGAGCAGUGAGACUGGUGGAUUCCAGAACACUACAGAUUAGUUUGUCUGUUGUUUUGCCUUUCUCUUUCAAGUCAAAGAUUACGAGCUCAAAUCCCACUCCUACUUCUUGGGUAUUGCACAAAAAUUGAACUGUUGGAGGUGCCAACAACAGAUGAGAUGGUAAAAUGGGACCUGGACUGUCAGCCAGUGCUAGUGCAUCCAGACAGAUACAACAGACUUAAUCGCAACGUGUUGGGCAAGUUGGGCAUCUGGAUUCCUGUGUCCAUGUCGGUGUCUCAAAUCAAAAUAUUUAACUCAUCAUUUAUCUCUCAGGUUAUUAAUCUGGUCCUGUGAUAUCUAAAUCAGCUGCUGAAUUUAUGUAAAUAUACUUCAAAAAUAAUUCACCAUACUAAAUAUGUGACAAGAUACAUUGUAACUAUUUUUAUUUGAUGGAGAUAGGGAAAUAAAGCAAGUUUAUAAAAAUUAAAGAAGCAGAAAAAUGUUCAAGUGUAAAAGACCAGAGGAAAAUGCAAUGCUGAGUUGCAGUGAGAAAUACUAGAAUGAUUUCAAACGCAGGGGGCAACUAUAGAUAAAUAACAUUAGUGAAUGAUAUAACUAUAAAAACAUUGAAUAAAAGUACUGAAUAUUGCUAUUCUGUUAACAAGACAGAUGGCAGCUGAAUAUUUCAACCUAUUUAAUUUUUCUCUUUUGUUUUCAAGUAAUUCUUUUGUUGUCAGCAUUCUUAACCACUUAGCUAUGAGCCAAUGAAAAUGAAGGUGCACUGCCGUAUUGGUGUCAAAUGUGAUGCAUAUAUCCCCAAUGACAAGGCUUAACUACACAAUCUCUUUUUAACCAUCCAUUUUCAACAUUCCUAGUUACCUUGAAGAUGCCAAAUCACUAUUUUCUAUCAAUGACGUUUCACUUUAAACUCUUAAAACCCUAGGAACUCCCCUGUAAACCUUUCUAUAUCUUUCCUCCUUUACAGCAUCUAUUGAAACUUACCAUACCAAGCUUUUGGUAAUCUGCUUUAAUAUCUCCUCAUGGGACUUAAUGUCACCUGUUUUAGAAUACUCCUGUGAGACGCUCUUGGGAUGUUAUAAAGCCCUGUUUAAAUAUACAUUUACUAGCUCAUUACAAAGGAGCUGAAAAUACACCUCCUGUUUGAGAAGGUUCUUCUAGACAAGAAAAGCUUAUUAUUCAACUGCUCUCUGAGCAAUUAUUUUCAACAAUAGUGGUGCAUUGCUUAUGUACUUCAGCACUUCACCUCAUGAGUCUCAAUAAAAUGUUUGACAGGUGAAAGGAGUAAUAACCCUAUUCAGUUUCCUUUAAUUUCUAUUAAAUAGUCUUUAUUCCAUGAACAAGACAUUUUGCAUUUGAAUUACAUUGUGUACAGCAUGGGCUAUGACAAAAUACUAGUAUCUUUAUUUGCCUUGACUAAUGAAAAAAAUAUAAAAGCUGAAAACAACUGAUAACACCAUAACAAUAUGAACUUAAUAACCACAGAUAGAAUAUCUACAUCCAAAUAAAGAAUGCAAGAUGACUGCAUUUUAAAAGUUCACGAUCGUUUACUCUUUACCAACACAAAACACAUGCACUCAAGGACUUACUACCAAGCAAAUAUUUUAAAAAGUAAUGUAGCAGGAAAUGGAAAGGAACUUCUUGAUAAAAAUGCAUUCCAUCCAAGUUACACUGGAAUGUGACACUGUACUUAAACAAGAUUGAAAUACAAUAUCACUCAGAAUGCAUUGGGCAAUACACAAAUUUAAAUGUUAUCUUAUUCUCUUCGAAAUAUUAACCUUUAAAACUACCCUUUGCCCCACUUGCUCCUGCUCAUACAUCUUUUCAAAAUGAACGUGACAGCCUUUACAAGUGUAAAUUGGGAGAUGGUUAACCUUAAGAGGUGAAGGAUUACAACAGUGAUAAUGAAUUUAUAACAAAAAUGUGGAUUUCAGUCAGAGAAGGUCUACAACUAUCUAACCAAAUGAAAUGCAUGUUACCCGCUAGAAGGGAUUAGGUAUGAGAAUUCAGAUAAGUAACAGGGCAGAAAAGCAGCACCGGCCAGUUUGCAAACUGAAACCAAGAGAUUGGCUAAUGCCACAUGACUGUCUACAAUUAGGAAGCCACUGAAUUAAAGUUGACCUAAAUAAUUAAGAUGUGGAAGGCUUCUUUUCUUCUUCAAAUUGACAGUGUUUCAUUUUCUAUCAGCACAUACUAGAAUCUUAACUAACAGGUCACUGAUACAGAUACUGAUCCACCAUAGAAGCAGACCAGGCCAAUCCUAAUGUCCCUUUAGAAUAAGUUUACCUUAGAAUAAGCUUCAGAUCACAUUAACUGGUUACAAAAACAAAAAUCAGAGAAGCCCAUAUGUGUAAAGUGUUUGAUAGAUAUUUCUGCAAGAUGUAAUAGAUGUUUAAUAAAUCUAAAUACUUGCAGCAAUUGUGGGGAAAUUCUGUCCUCAUAUAUUGUUUGACAGUAACUUUAUAAAUUCAAGGGACUCCCAAGAUCGCACAAGCAUUGACUGAAAUGGAAACCUAUCCUUCAUGGAAAAUGAUGAAUUUAAGAGUUAGGUGUUUGUAGACAAUUAUCAUCAGUCACAGAUUAGAUUUUUUGAACCUGUAAAACUAGAGUUAUAGAGACAUGCAGUUGAGAAGAAUUUUUUUUAAAAAUCCCAACCUUUCUGUUUUUACUGUUGUUGACUGAUUUCCAACAUUUACAGACUAAAUAUUAAUCCAAAUAGCUCAUAUAUGAAGGGUUGCAUCCUGUUAUUGCUGGUAAUGGAGAACAUUUGAGCAAUUAAUAUACUUAAUUACAGUAGUGAUACUGGUCCUUGAUCUUUAAAAAUGAGCUUAUCACCAGAAUCAUACUUAACAUCAGGCACAUGGAAAGUUAUUGGGACAUUUUGAGCAUCAUGACUCUUAAACAGCCAGCAGAGACCAUUAAUAAGCACCUGCAGUGGUUCUGUUUCUUCAAAUAUUCUUUACUACCAAACAGUUUGGUUAACAUUGUGCACCCAUAAAUCACUUACUUCUAUGUAAAUAAAAUUCCUUAUGAAGUAUUGAAAAGUCUGGCCAAUGGGAUUCAAGAUAGAACAUUUUUAGAAUGAUUUUAUCCAAACUCUAGACAUUUAUGAGAAGCAACCGUGCAAUGAAUACAAAGAAAAUCUUGAUGCAUUGUGCAUAAAAUAUUCAUUAGUGGUGAAUGAUAAAGAACAAAGAUAAAAGCAAGACCAAAAAACUGUGGGGUUAAGGAGUGUACUUCAACUUAAAAACAGUACAGACUACAGCAAAACAGCACACUAGUAACAUGGGUAAAGAGGGAUCAUAUGAAGUGAAAUCUACUUUCCUUCAUACAAAAGAAAAUCACAGCUGUUUAUUUUUCAUCUACAAUUUAAACUUAUUCCUACAGUAGGAGUAAUGUUAUAAUACUGGAAAUAAAAGACCAAGUUAAAGCUCAGUUUGGUCUGUUACAAGACUUGGGUCUAAGUGCCACUAUAUAGAACUGUCUCUCACACAUACCUGUGACCAUUUAAUAUCUCUGACCACCUAUUCAAGGCUGAAAACAAGUUGUGUCCACCAUGGUUACAGCAUCAGCUGUAGGCUCUGGAGUCCUCAAUAUCAAUUGCUUGUGUUCCCUCAGAACCAAGUUAAAGCUUGGACACUAUCAGAUUUCAUCAGCAUCACGAAGUUUUAUUAGGUGGAAUGUCUAGGGGAUUGCAUCAAUCAGGGUUUCUUUCACAGAGACCAGACUUCCCGAGAAAUAUACUUAAGUCAGCUCAAAUCUGCACGACAAUGCCAUAAAACAUUUGGUGAGUGUUUCAAUAGGUUAUGACAAACUAGAAACCGUUUUCUAAGCUAGUGCUGUACAGCUCAGUUGUUUUGUUUUUAAGGAUGUCUGCCUUCAUUGUAAUUUUAAUAGGCAUUGUGAAUAUACAGUAGUGUCAUUUAGUGUAUCGUGAGCAAGCAGGGUAUCCUUGCUGACUGGAAGAGAGUGGGAAGUAAACAAAGCUAAAAAUUGUCAUGAAGAUCGAAACACAAUUUAAGAAGUUCUGGCAACCACACGCAUUCGGUAACUGUUGAAAAUUAAAAAUAUAUUUUAUUCAAUCCAAUUGAAAUUAGAGAUGUGCCAUUUCCCCUAAAGAAUGAAGAUACUUGCGUACCAAUAUCAACAAUAACCUAAGGCCUGAAUUGUAGUCAGGCUGUUGUUGUGUACAAAGUCUUGUGCAGCUGAAAGGGUGCCUGGAGUUUUACUCUGGUCUAAAACACCUCUCCCUCUCAACAGCUGCCAUUCACAAUGAAGUCCAACAAUAUUUAACAUUUCAAGUAAACUAGUUAAGGUUACUAAAACCUGCUACAGUUAAAAAAGGUGGCUCCCUCCUAUUGAAAUCAUGCAGGACAGUGGCCAUGUACACUGAAAAUUGCUCGAAGCUCUGAUCAGAAUUAUAGCAAAUAAAUAGUUAAGGAAUCAGUCAAAACACACAUAAAUUUCGAUCACAAAGUAAUCAACACACAGAAUAGUCAGAGACUGAAAUACAAGGGUCAAAUUCAAGUACCUCCUUGCUAGUAGAAAUCUUGGAUCCCUCAAGAUCAGAAUUUGCUCUCCUGGAAUACUAAUGCCAAUUGUGGACCCACUACCUGAAUUUAACAGCUAAGCAAUCAUUUCUUGCAAAGUUGGUCAUUACCGAGGCCCAAAAAUUUAAUCUUGCUGAGCCUCCCUGCUGACAAUCCAGGUCGGGCCAGCCGACGCCUUGCUGCAUUUCAAACCAGGGAUUCAAACUGAGUCCAUGAUAAAUGAAUUCUACAAGUAAAAUCUGUAGAUGAAAAAAAUGAUAACUGAGGCAUCUCAUCUAAUCCAAACACUUGCCUAUGGCCUUGGGCUAGCUUGUUUUGUAAAACACCUUUUGAUAAAUUGUACUGCUACAUUUCUGGGUUGAGUUUAUUUACAAGUACCUGCAUAAACAGGCUGAACUGCAUCUACCCACUCCCAGCCAUUCUGUGCCUCCAUAGUUUGAACUAGUGACAACCGCAAAGGUUUGGAGCAAUGGUGCGCCAGGACUUUGCACAAUGAUGAGUAGAAAGGAAAAUCAAAACAUUCCCUUUGUGCAAUUCAUUCCGGUUCCAUUUAAGAAAAUAUAUAUUUAAUGGUACACACUGAAGUGGAUACAGAUCUCUGCAAAGGAGCACAGAAAUCAGUACAAUUUUAAAUAGAAGAGAUUAUUUCAAAACAUAAAAGGGAGUUAUGAGAGAUAAGUUUUAUAAAAGGAAACACUAAGCUUGAUGAUUGAAACAUGUACCCAAUUGUGACAGUUAUAAUUUAUAUUAAACCUUGCAGCAAAAAAAAAGGCAUGUUCUAUAAGUUAUUAUUGCACAUCAGUCCAUGAAAUUUGUAGCACACCACCUCCUGAAGGAUAGUACAAAAGAUGCACAGACUGAUGUAUCGUAGCAACGUUCACAGGACAAAUACUUUAUUUAUAAAAGCGCUGUGGAAAUUCAGGUAGUGUAUUGGAGCUACAGGACAUCUGGGUUUCUUCUUGGUACAUAGCUAAAACUGUGAAUGAUAGUGAAGAGUUUGGUCAGGAACGAUUAAUUAGUGUCAUCAAGUUGGGAAUGGUCUCUUUUGGUUCCUUCUUUGUGCUUAGGAGCAGUUUCAUUUCUUCUUUGCAUGGACAU
Molecule: long non-coding RNA, 7021 nt
Organism: Stegostoma tigrinum
Lineage: Eukaryota; Metazoa; Chordata; Chondrichthyes; Orectolobiformes; Stegostomatidae
Exons: 5
Source: RefSeq, a predicted model, not a curated record